AACGCGAAGAACCUUACCUGGGCUCGAACGGCUUCUCAACGACGGUGGAAACACCGUUAUCCCGCAAGGGAGUGGAGUCGAGGUGCUGCAUGGCUGUCGUCAGCUCGUGUCGUGAGAUGUUGGGUUAAGUCCCGCAACGAGCGCAACCCUCGUCCUGUGUUGCUAUCCCGCAAGGGAGCACUCUGGCGAAACCGCCUCGGAUAACGGGGAGGAAGGUGGGGAUGACGUCAAGUCCUCAUGGCCUUUAUGUCCAGGGCUACACACGUGCUACAAUGGCCGGUACAAACCGUCGCAAACCCGCGAGGGGGAGCUAAUCGGAAAAAGCCGGCCUCAGUUCGGAUCGCAGUCUGCAACUCGACUGCGUGAAGCUGGAAUCGCUAGUAAUCGCGGAUCAGAACGCCGCGGUGAAUACGUUCCCGGGCCUUGUACACACCGACUGUAC
This 442-nucleotide ribosomal RNA is filed under the name uncultured bacterium. Its description in RNAcentral is "bacterial SSU rRNA". It matches the Rfam family "Bacterial small subunit ribosomal RNA", at positions 958 to 1399 of the family's 1533-position model. The record is from RNAcentral.